CCUACGGGUGGCAGCAGUGGGGAAUAUUGGACAAUGGGGGGAACCCUGAUCCAGCCAUGCCGCGUGUGUGAAGAAGGCCCUCGGGUUGUAAAGCACUUUCAGUGAGGAAGAACGCCUGGUGGUUAAUACCCAUCAGGAAAGACAUCACUCACAGAAGAAGCACCGGCUAACUCCGUGCCAGCAGCCGCGGUAAUACGGAGGGUGCGAGCGUUAAUCGGAAUUACUGGGCGUAAAGCGCGCGUAGGUGGCUUGAUAAGCCGGUUGUGAAAGCCCCGGGCUCAACCUGGGAACGGCAUCCGGAACUGUCCAGCUAGAGUGCAGGAGAGGAAGGUAGAAUUCCCGGUGUAGCGGUGAAAUGCGUAGAGAUCGGGAGGAAUACCAGUGGCGAAGGCGGCCUUCUGGACUGACACUGACACUGAGGUGCGAAAGCGUGGGUAGCAAACAGGAUUAGAUACCCCGGUAGUC
RNAcentral lists this ribosomal RNA (465 nucleotides) under Vreelandella stevensii. RNAcentral's name for it is "partial 16S ribosomal RNA". It matches the Rfam family "Bacterial small subunit ribosomal RNA", at positions 338 to 795 of the family's 1533-position model. The record is from RNAcentral. Lineage: Bacteria; Pseudomonadati; Pseudomonadota; Gammaproteobacteria; Oceanospirillales; Halomonadaceae.